Long non-coding RNA from Passer domesticus (house sparrow), 2324 nucleotides. RefSeq lists it as uncharacterized. NCBI's taxonomy places the organism in Eukaryota, Metazoa, Chordata, Aves, Passeriformes, Passeridae. The record is from RefSeq and is a predicted model, not a curated record. The transcript is spliced from 4 exons.
CAACAAAGAUCCCGUUCUCAUGCAACUGUCUCUAGUAAUCAAAUGGAAGAAACAAAAUACAGAAGAUGAUGUCACUAAUUCCACAAACACUAAAAUACCACAAUUUGAGGCCCUGUGGUUGGAGGUUCAGGUGUGACCCCAGACUUGCUGCUGUGCCAAGACUUCUUUGCAGAAAAGGUAAAUUUGCUUUGCCAUUUCGGGCUGAGCUGCCGUGCUGGGAUUGUUUCUAAAUUCCUGCACACUCCCGUGUGUCCAAAGGCAGGUCCAAGGGGAUGAGGAGCUUUCCCAGUCUUUUCCAGUGUUAUUUUGUGGAAGAGUCAGUAGAUGGAGCUGUGACCCAUGGAAGGUCCCACCGUUUACCAACGGGGUGCGUGCUAAAUAAUAGUAUUUAUGUGCCAGUAUGUCCCUGCCCCAAAAAUCCUGCGGGCAAGGAAUUUGGAUGACUUCAGGCUUGCACGGCUACGUGGGGUUAGCAGGCACUUCACAAAUGUGCAGGAGAAGUUGCUUUGCUGGUGCUUUCCUUGCCAUCAGAAAGCAGGCUGGAAGAGGGGAUGGGAAAUGCUUGGGCAAAUAUCCCCUUGGCUUCAAGGACAGAUUUUUAUUUUCCACCAUGUGCCUUUAGAAUCUUGUCGGUUUUAGCUGAAGUGUUUAGAUAGCUCCUAUCAUUGUAGUGAUUUCAAGGACUCUACAACACCAGACAAUACAAGCCAGUGAAAAGUCCUUGGAAAAACACCUUGGAAAAAGAUCAAGAAAGCUACAAUAAAAUAAAAAUAAACAAAUAAAAGAAUCCCAAAGCAAAACAAAAACCCUCUGAGAACACAGUGUCAUUAGGGAUUCUUCAUAAAGAAGGGGAAAGUGUCAAGGUGUAGAGGUGAGCUGUGAUUUACAGAAAUGGAAUCCAAGGGGAAAACCAUGGUGCAGCUGGAGUGUGUUUUGGGGUGCUGGGUGGGCAGCUGGGCUCAGCUGUUCACAUCUCCCAAAAGUGCUGCUGUAAAUCCCUGGAGUCUGAGAGCUGCUGGGAGAUGGUGGAUGGGCUGGGGCUGUGUGGGGUUGUGGGGCAGCAUCCCCCCAGAGCUCUGGGGUCAGAGUGGGGAUGUGGCAGUUCUCUCCUGUGCUCUCUGCCCCUGUUCCCCAACCUCUCUCCACACCUUGAGUCCUGUGUCCAGCUCUGGACCCACCACUUCAGGAAGGACAUUGAGGGGCUGGAGGGUGUCCAGAGGAGGGAACAGAGCUGGGGAAGGGGCUGGAGCACAAGUCCAUGGGCAGAAAUUGAGGGAGCUGAAGGUGUUUAGCCUGGAGGAAAGGAGGCUCAAGAGAAUCCUUGUGCCUUUCCUCCCUGGCAGGAGGGUGCAGCCAGGGGGAUGUCAGGCUCUGCUGUCAGGGAACAGGGACAGGACAAGAGGAAAUGGCCUCAAGGUGUGCCAGGGGAGGUUUUGGAUACUAGGAACAAUUUUUUCACCAAAAGGGUUCUCAAGCACUGAUAAAAGCUGCACAGGGCAGUGGUGGAAUCUCCAUCCCUGGAGGGAUUUAAAAACCAUGAGGAUGUGGUUCAGUGGUGACCAUGGCAGUGCCGGGGGAAUGGCUGGGCUUUCCCACCCUAAACAAUUCUGUGACUCAGGUCACUCUUGGCUUAACCAGUGCUGGAAAGUGCAGAGAAUUUUUCUCAUUUAAGACAAUCUCACUGUUCUGGGGAUCCAAACUCAGAGGAAGAGAAGCACAAACCUACCCUGCCUUGUGCCUGUGUCAGUGGCCCUGUGUGGCUGUGAGCUUGCUGAAGGGAUGAAGCAGCCUCCUGAGAUUCAGUUGCAGAAACAGAGCUUCCAGAGUGUAGACUCUGCAUGCAGAACAACCCAGCCUGAAGUGAUAAUCCCAGGCUCAGCCCCGAGGGAAUGCCUGACAUUGCUCUGGCCUGAUUUUCCUAAUGGCUCUGCAACUUGCCUCUGGUUUGCAGGUGGUUUAAAUUGUUAUCGCUGAGCACCUUGCCCAGCUUGGGCAGAGCUCUUGGGAUCUCUGAUCCUCUAGAAUACCUACCUGUCUUGAUUUAAUUUAUAUUAAUUUUUUUUAAACUUCUUCCUCCCUCCCGAUUUUAGGUGCAAUUGGGGCUUGUGGCAGCUUAGCAGACUCACUGCAAAGGGGUGCAAACGCAGCCUGAGCUCCCUGCUGACACAGAGAGGGAAGAGUGGGAGACCUGCAGUUCCAGCUGCUCCUCCUGCCUCCUCUGAACAACCCUUCCUUGCCCCCAUCCUGCAUGAUCAAUACCCAGGCCAUCCCCUUCCCUUGCCCUGGAGAACUGGAAUUUUUCCUUGCCUAAUAACCUGUGUCUG